Molecule: ribosomal RNA, 447 nt
Filed under: uncultured bacterium
Lineage: Bacteria
Description: bacterial SSU rRNA
Rfam family: Bacterial small subunit ribosomal RNA
Source: RNAcentral
CCAGACUCCUACGGGAGGCAGCAGUGGGGGAUAUUGGACAAUGGGGGGAACCCUGAUCCAGCGACGCCGCGUGAGUGAAGAAGUAUCUCGGUAUGUAAAGCUCUAUCAGCAGGGAAGAAAGAAAUGACGGUACCUGAGUAAGAAGCCCCGGCUAACUACGUGCCAGCAGCCGCGGUAAUACGUAGGGGGCAAGCGUUAUCCGGAAUUACUGGGUGUAAAGGGAGCGUAGACGGUGAAGUAAGUCUGGAGUGAAAGGCGGGGGCCCAACCCCCGGACUGCUCUGGAAACUGUGCGGCUAGAGUACUGGAGGGGCAGGCGGAAUUCCUAGUGUAGCGGUGAAAUGCGUAGAUAUUAGGAGGAACACCAGUGGCGAAGGCGGCCUGCUGGACAGUAACUGACGUUGAGGCUCGAAAGCGUGGGGAGCAAACAGGAUUAGAUACCCGAGUA